This 585-nucleotide long non-coding RNA is filed under the name Anas platyrhynchos platyrhynchos (common mallard). Its description in RNAcentral is "lncRNA (ENSAPLG00000019963.1)". Lineage: Eukaryota; Metazoa; Chordata; Aves; Anseriformes; Anatidae. The record is from RNAcentral.
GGAGUGUUGAUGCCAUCUUCCCUGCUCUGCCCCUGGGGCAGUCCAUAUAGAUAUUGCUGUGCAUCUUGGUCAGUCAUUAGUGUUCUAGCUGAUCCCUAGACAGUCAUUCUCAUGUGUACCCCUCCCUUCUUGUCAUUACAAAGCAGAAGGGAAUGAUGCACAAAGUUUGCGCAGUAGUUUUGAAUGUGGAAGGGCUAAUCUAAGACCAGAAACAUUUCAUGGAAUGUGCCAGUUCCAAAUGAGGGAAAAUUUAAACCUUCAUUACCCAAGAAUAUAGAUAAGGAACUCACAAGCAAAUAAACACUGAGGCUACAGUCCAGGUAUUUAUGGAAUGUCAAUCCUAUUUGGGGCAAAGAUCUUCUAAGUGGUUAUCCUCCUGAAAAAACACCCAGUCAGAGCUACUAGAAGAAGAAGGCAAAGGUCUUUGCACUGUCAAGGUGCAAAGGGAAGGUGUUGUAGGUAUACCUGUCUUCUUCACAGAGUAUAAGCAUGAGCCUUGAUGUUGAACUUACCUCACUUUUCCAUUGGAGAGAGUUUACAUCCAUUUAAAGUUUCUUGAUGUUUCUGAAAUGGGUCAGAAUUUUG